GAGGGUAUAGCUCAAAGUGGCAGAGCUCAUGCUUAGCAUGCAUGACGAGGUCCUGGGUUCAAUCCCCAGUACCUCCU
RNAcentral lists this transfer RNA (77 nucleotides) under Camelus bactrianus (Bactrian camel). It matches the Rfam family "tRNA". Rfam says of the family: Transfer RNA (tRNA) molecules are approximately 80 nucleotides in length. RNAcentral also lists the same sequence under 2 other names. The record is from Rfam by way of RNAcentral. Lineage: Eukaryota; Metazoa; Chordata; Mammalia; Artiodactyla; Camelidae.